GUCGAGAAUAAUUCACAAUGGGGGAAACCCUGAUGGUGCAACGCCGCGUGGAGGAUGAAGGUCUUCGGAUUGUAAACUCCUGUCAUCUGGGAGUAAGACCUGACGGUGAAUAGCCGGCAGGGUUGAUAGUACCAGAAGAGGAAGGGACGGCUAACUUCGUGCCAGCAGCCGCGGUAAUACGAAGGUCCCAAGCGUUGUUCGGAAUCACUGGGCGUAAAGGGAGCGUAGGCGGCGUGGUAAGUCAGAUGUGAAAUCCCGGGGCUCAACCCCGGAACUGCAGCCGGUACGGCCAUGCUUGAGGGUUGGAGAGGUAGCUGGAAUUCUCGGUGUAGCAGUGAAAUGCGUGGAUAUCGAGAGGAACACUCGUGGCGAAGGCGAGCUACUGGACAACAUCUGACGCUGAGGCUCGAAGGCCAGGGGAGCAAAAGGGAUUAGAAACCCGGGUAGUCC
RNAcentral lists this ribosomal RNA (450 nucleotides) under uncultured bacterium. Its description in RNAcentral is "partial 16S ribosomal RNA". It matches the Rfam family "Bacterial small subunit ribosomal RNA", at positions 354 to 796 of the family's 1533-position model. The record is from RNAcentral.